RNAcentral lists this ribosomal RNA (470 nucleotides) under Bolitoglossa odonnelli (O'Donnell's salamander). RNAcentral describes it as "partial large subunit ribosomal RNA". It matches the Rfam family "Bacterial large subunit ribosomal RNA", at positions 1817 to 2597 of the family's 2925-position model. Lineage: Eukaryota; Metazoa; Chordata; Amphibia; Caudata; Plethodontidae. The record is from RNAcentral.
CGCCUUUUGAAGUAUGAACAUAAAAGGUCCUGCCUGCCCAAUGACUUGUUUUAAUGGCCGCGGUAUAAUGACCGUGCAAAGGUAGCGUAAUCAUUUGUCUCCUAAAUAGAGACCAGUAUGAAUGGCAAAACGAAAGCCUCACUGUCUCUCUAACCCAGUCAAUGAAAUUGAUCUUCCCGUGCAGAAGCGGGAAUAAAAAUAUAAGACGAGAAGACCCUGUGGAGCUUUAAACUUAAGUUUUAGGUUGGGGCGACCAUGAGGUAUAACACAACCCUCACGACAAUAAAUAGAAAGACACUUCAAACAUUGACCCAAUAAUUGAUCAACGAACCAAGUUACCCCAGGGAUAACAGCGCAAUCCGCUCAAAGAGUCCAUAUCGACGAGCAGGUUUACGACCUCGAUGUUGGAUCAGGACCCCCAAAUAACGCAACAGCUAUUAAAGGUUCGUUUGUUCAACGAUUAAAGUCCU